RNAcentral lists this transfer RNA (72 nucleotides) under Phrynosoma platyrhinos (Desert horned lizard). Its description in RNAcentral is "tRNA-OTHER". The record is from RNAcentral. Lineage: Eukaryota; Metazoa; Chordata; Lepidosauria; Squamata; Phrynosomatidae.
GCCAGUGUGGCAUAGUGGUUUCAGUGUUGGACUAGGACUCUGGAAACCAAGGUUCGAAUCCUGGCUCAGCCA